This 72-nucleotide transfer RNA is filed under the name Ricinus communis (castor bean). It matches the Rfam family "tRNA". From Rfam's summary of the family: Transfer RNA (tRNA) molecules are approximately 80 nucleotides in length. Their secondary structure includes four short double-helical elements and three loops (D, anti-codon, and T loops). The record is from Rfam by way of RNAcentral. Lineage: Eukaryota; Viridiplantae; Streptophyta; Magnoliopsida; Malpighiales; Euphorbiaceae.
UCCUCAGUAGCUCAGUGGUAGAGCGGUCGGCUGUUAAUUGACUGGUCGUAUAUUCAAAUCCUACUUGAAGAG